RNAcentral lists this ribosomal RNA (323 nucleotides) under uncultured Anaerococcus sp. RNAcentral describes it as "bacterial SSU rRNA". It matches the Rfam family "Bacterial small subunit ribosomal RNA", at positions 28 to 334 of the family's 1533-position model. The record is from RNAcentral. Lineage: Bacteria; Bacillati; Bacillota; Tissierellia; Tissierellales; Peptoniphilaceae.
GAUUAACGCUGGCGGCGUGCAUAACACAUGCAAGUCGAACGAUGAAACUUUACUGACUUCUUCGGAAAGAUUUAAAGCGGAUUAGUGGCGGACGGGUGAGUAACGCGUGAGUAACCUGCCUUACACAAGGGGAUAGCCGUUGGAAACGACGAAUAAUACCCUAUGAAACUAUCACUUCGCAUGAAGCGAUAGUCAAAGUGUUAGCGGUGUAAGAUGGACUUGCGUCUGAUUAGCUAGUUGGUGAGAAAAAAGCCCACCAAGGCAACGAUCAGUAGCCGGCUUGAGAGAGUGUACGGCCACAUUGGGACUGAGACACGGCCCAG